GUAGGCGUGCCCCUUAGGCAAAUCCGGGGGGCUGAGCUGAGGCGUGAUGACGAGGUCUCUUUGAGACCGAAGUGAUUGAGACCCUGCUUCCAGGAAAAGCCACUAAGCUUCAGUCUAGAAUUGACCGUACCGCAAACCGACACAGGUGGGCAGGUAGAAGAUACUAAGGCGCUUGAGAGAACUCAGGAGAAGGAACUCGGCAAAUUGAUACCGUAACUUCGGGAGAAGGUAUGCCCCUGGUACGUGAAGGCCCUCGCGGCCGGAGCGGAACGGGGUCGCAGAGAAUCGGUGGCUGCGACUGUUUAUUAAAAACACAGCACUCUGCAAACACGAAAGUGGACGUAUAGGGUGUGACGCCUGCCCGGUGCCGGAAGGUUAAGUGAUGGGGUGCAAGCUCUUGAUCGAAGCCCCGGUAAACGGCGGCCGUAACUAUAACGGUCCUAAGGUAGCGAAAUUCCUUGUCGGGUAAGUUCCGACCUGCACGAAUGGCGUAACGAUGGCCACACUGUCUCCUCCUGAGACUCAGCGAAGUUGAAAUGUUUGUGAAGAUGCAAUCUCCCCGCGGCUAGACGGAAAGACCCCAUGAACCUUUACUGUAGCUUUGCAUUGGACUUUGACGGGACUUGUGUAGGAUAGGUGGGAGGCUUUGAAACCGGGACGCCAGUUCCGGUGGAGCCAACCUUGAAAUACCACCCUGGUGUCGUCGAGGUUCUAACCCAGGCCUGUGAAUCCAGGUCGGGGACCGUGCAUGGUGGGCAGUUUGACUGGGGCGGUCUCCUCCCAAAAGGUAACGGAGGAGUACGAAGGUCUUCUAGGUACGGUCGGACAUCGUACUGAUAGUGCAAUGGCAAAAGAAGGCUUGACUGCGAGACCCACAAGUCGAGCAGGUGCGAAAGCAGGUCAUAGUGAUCCGGUGGUUCUGUAUGGAAGGGCCAUCGCUCAACGGAUAAAAGGUACUCUGGGGAUAACAGGCUGAUUCCGCCCAAGAGUUCACAUCGACGGCGGAGUUUGGCACCUCGAUGUCGGCUCAUCACAUCCUGGGGCUGUAGCCGGUCCCAAGGGUAUGGCUGUUCGCCAUUUAAAGUGGUACGUGAGCUGGGUUUAAAACGUCGUGAGACAGUUUGGUCCCUAUCUGCCGUGGGCGCUG
RNAcentral lists this ribosomal RNA (1147 nucleotides) under activated sludge metagenome. RNAcentral's name for it is "bacterial LSU rRNA". It matches the Rfam family "Bacterial large subunit ribosomal RNA", at positions 1520 to 2656 of the family's 2925-position model. The record is from RNAcentral.